RNAcentral lists this ribosomal RNA (158 nucleotides) under uncultured Flavobacterium sp. RNAcentral describes it as "partial 16S ribosomal RNA". It matches the Rfam family "Bacterial small subunit ribosomal RNA", at positions 337 to 493 of the family's 1533-position model. The record is from RNAcentral. Lineage: Bacteria; Pseudomonadati; Bacteroidota; Flavobacteriia; Flavobacteriales; Flavobacteriaceae.
UCCUACGGGAGGCAGCAGUGAGGAAUAUUGGACAAUGGGCGCAAGCCUGAUCCAGCCAUGCCGCGUGCAGGAUGACGGUCCUAUGGAUUGUAAACUGCUUUUAUACGAGAAGAAACACCUCUACGUGUAGAGACUGACGGUAUCGUAAGAAUAAGAUC